Molecule: long non-coding RNA, 1080 nt
Filed under: Pogona vitticeps (central bearded dragon)
Lineage: Eukaryota; Metazoa; Chordata; Lepidosauria; Squamata; Agamidae
Description: lncRNA (ENSPVIG00000017274.1)
Source: RNAcentral
GACAUAGGAAAACCCAGCCAGCCAACUGCUGGGCAGAGAUAUUUUGCCAAGGGUUGCUGAGGAGUACCUGCCCCCCCUCCUCUGCCCCCAUUGCAGGAAACACAAGGGCUUGGAGCCAUUGGCACAAUAAAUGGGAAAGUGUGAAGGCUGGCCAGCCUGGGCUGGAGGGCAAACCGGGAGAUGAACUUAACUGACCGGCUCCUGGACCAAAGGGCAGGGGUUGCAUUUCCUUCAGCUCUAGCUUCCUGGCAGUUGGUGCAGUUGGGUCUUAUCCUUUCACAUGAGGCCAGAGAGGAGGCUGAUGAUUUGUAGGAACAUAUCCUGAAUUUCGGGAGUAGACAGCUCUGGCAGUCCAUGCUCUUACCAAACUUUGCAGCAGGUGGAGGUGUCUUUCUCCAUGAAUCGCCCUCUGGGACACGCCUUCUCACAGUUCGGACAAGAUCCGCUGCCUCUAAGAAAGGCUUGCAUACCUUCUGAAGCCGUCUCUGCCGUUAGCCUGCUCCACCCAGUCUCUGUGUGAAACUGUGUGAAAGAUAGAGUGAAGCUUUUUGCUUUCCCAGCAUCCUGUACCCCAAUAGGGUCAGGAGAGCCGAGCAAACCUUUCCAGGUAUGGAGGUGGCACCGGUCCCCCUGGCUGGCUUCUGUGGGGCCUGUUUGCAGGAGGCCACUUUCAAAGAAAAACCGUACUAGGGAAAUGUGGGUGGCCUUCAAGAGUCAGGAAUGGACUUCCAGGAAUUACCUAUUGAUUUUGUUAAGUGCAUGGCUCAUGAAAAAAUGCAAGAGAAAGCCAGAGGCGCAGACUAAGCAGGGUCACGUGUGUGAGAGAAAGGUGGCGUAGCCCUUGACCGUGUUACUCUCUCUUUCUAGGUGAUGUUCUCCUCCGAAGGCCCCAGCGAUCCAGGUAAUGUUACUCUCUCUUUCUAGGUGAUGUUCUCCUUUGAAGGCCCCAGCGAUCCAGGUAAUGAUCACACCUGACUGGGUGGUGGUUGUGGGAGAGUGAGAGAAAGGAAGAAUUCCUAGGCUCAUGGUUACGUGUGUGGACACUUUGCAUCGUUCCCAACCUCCGGCAACCCCAGUAUU